This is an RNA transcript of Vigna angularis (adzuki bean), 996 nucleotides long. RefSeq lists it as uncharacterized. Lineage: Eukaryota; Viridiplantae; Streptophyta; Magnoliopsida; Fabales; Fabaceae. The transcript is spliced from 2 exons. The record is from RefSeq and is a predicted model, not a curated record.
CUGAUUGAUGUCUGGUUGUUGAAAACAUAUUCCCCAACCUGUUCUUCUUGUCUUAAUUUUCCUCAGUCCAAAGUUCCAGAAAUGGGCGAUUUCCAAGGCCCCUUCAUAGUGUCACCCCCUCCUUCACCCUCUUCCUCGGACAAGUCCAGCACAACCAUGUUAUACUAUGGGCUUGUAGUGGUGGGGGUUGCAGCGGCGGCAUUAGCCCUGUACAACUUCAUAAUCAUCAGGAGGAGCAGAAGGAGGCACGUGCAAUCAGAAGGCGAAGGGGGAAAUGGGUUGGUGGAGGUGGUGAGUGAAAGUAGAAUAGAGAACUUGGUGUCAAGCUUCAAGUACAAGAAAGAAGGAGUUGUGGGUUAUGAUGAUGAAUGCUCAGUUUGCUUAUCUGGAUUUGAAGAAGGAGAAGAAGUUCGGAAGCUUCCACAGUGCAAGCACUGGUUCCACGCUCCAUGCAUAGACAUGUGGCUCUACUCUCACUUGGACUGCCCAAUUUGUCGAACACCUGUGGUGCGUUUCUCGCAGACAUUGCUGGAAUGAGGUAGCGGUGUGUUUGUAAAUUAUAAGUGCGAUGAGCGAUUAUGAGUUUGUAAAUGGAUUUUGUGGAAUUGAUUCAGAAUGAAAUGCAAAUUAGAAGAUGGUUUGUGGGGUCUGACACUGCGCUGGAAUUGUGACCACUCAGUCCUUCAACACUUUCUCCACAAGGAACAGACACAGCUAAAGCACCCAACUUUGGAUACCUUGUUCCUGAUGUUACGUCACAAAAAGAGAUCUUAAAGUAUAUCUCUUGGUGGGAACAAGAAUUUGCUGUCUCUAAUAGGCUUAAUCAUUUCGAACAAGAUUUCUUCUCAUAUAAAAAUGUAAGAUUUCAAGAUUUUGAUUUUGAUUCCUUGUCGUCAAGACAUGAGUGAGUGAUAGGAUCUCAUUUUUAAUUUUAAAUAUCUCAUUGCCGUUCACUUUAGGCUCACUCAUAAAUAAUUUAUUCAUUUUAUUAUAUAU